AAAAAGAAUAAGGAAAAAAAAACCAAAAAACCAAACCCGAUUAUUUAUUAUUAAAAACUCUGUGUAUAACUCUUGUAGUUUUGGUUUUUUUUCUCUCUCUCUUCAAACGCGCAAUAUUCUUUUUAUCGUGAGUAUUUUACAGCUAGGGAAGUAGAAAACAAAGAGAAGUCGAGAUAGUUGAAAGUUCAAGAAAACUGAA
This 199-nucleotide non-coding RNA is filed under the name uncultured Tubulinea. Lineage: Eukaryota; Tubulinea. The record is from RNAcentral.